Non-coding RNA from Acanthosepion pharaonis, 93 nucleotides. Lineage: Eukaryota; Metazoa; Mollusca; Cephalopoda; Sepiida; Sepiidae. The record is from the annotation of a GenBank genome assembly.
CGUUGAAACACCGGUUGUCAUAUGAUCACCGAAGUUAAGCAACGUCCAGCUUGGUCAGUACUUGGAUGGAUGACACACUUGGGAAUAUCAGGU